GAGUUUGAUCCUGGCUCAGGAUGAACGCUAGCGGCAGGCCUAAUACAUGCAAGUCGAGGGGCAGCAGGGUAGCAAUAUCGCUGGCGACCGGCGCACGGGUGCGUAACACGUAUACAAUCUGCCUUUAACGGGGGGAUAGCCCGGAGAAAUCCGGAUUAAUACCCCAUAACACGAGAAACGGCAUCGUUUUUUGUUAAAAGCUCCGGCGGUUAGAGAUGAGUAUGCGUCUGAUUAGCUAGUUGGUGAGGUAACGGCUCACCAAGGCGACGAUCAGUAGGGGAUCUGAGAGGAUUAACCCCCACACGGAUACUGAGACACGGAUCCGACUCCUACGGGAGGCAGCAGUAAGGAAUAUUGGACAAUGGGGGCAACCCUGAUCCAGCAAUGCCGCGUGAGUGAUGAAGGCCUU
RNAcentral lists this ribosomal RNA (409 nucleotides) under uncultured Flavobacterium sp. RNAcentral describes it as "bacterial SSU rRNA". It matches the Rfam family "Bacterial small subunit ribosomal RNA", at positions 9 to 418 of the family's 1533-position model. Lineage: Bacteria; Pseudomonadati; Bacteroidota; Flavobacteriia; Flavobacteriales; Flavobacteriaceae. The record is from RNAcentral.